GAUGAACGCUGGCGGCGUGCCUAAUACAUGCAAGUCGAGCGAACAGACGAGGAGCUUGCUCCUCUGACGUUAGCGGCGUACGGGUGUGUAACACGUGGAUAACCUACCUAUAAGACUGGGAUAACUUCGGGAAACCGGAGCUAAUACCGGAUAAUAUAUUGAACCGCAUGGUUCAAUAGUGAAAGACGGUUUUGCUGUCACUUAUAGAUGGAUCCGCGCCGCAUUAGCUAGUUGGUAAGGUAACGGCUUACCAAGGCAACGAUGCGUAGCCGACCUGAGAGGGUGAUCGGCCACACUGGAACUGAGACACGGUCCAGACUCCUACGGGAGGCAGCAGUAGGGAAUCUUCCGCAAUGGGCGAAAGCCUGACGGAGCAACGCCGCGUGAGUGAUGAAGGUCUUCGGAUCGUAAAACUCUGUUAUUAGGGAAGAACAAAUGUGUAAGUAACUAUGCACGUCUUGACGGUACCUAAUCAGAAAGCCACGGCUAACUACGUG
This 497-nucleotide ribosomal RNA is filed under the name uncultured bacterium. Its description in RNAcentral is "partial 16S ribosomal RNA". It matches the Rfam family "Bacterial small subunit ribosomal RNA", at positions 28 to 507 of the family's 1533-position model. The record is from RNAcentral.